RNAcentral lists this ribosomal RNA (253 nucleotides) under uncultured bacterium. RNAcentral describes it as "partial 16S ribosomal RNA". It matches the Rfam family "Bacterial small subunit ribosomal RNA", at positions 524 to 776 of the family's 1533-position model. The record is from RNAcentral.
UACGUAGGGGGCAAGCGUUGUCCGGAAUCAUUGGGCGUAAAGAGCGUGUAGGCGGCCCGAUAAGUCCGCCGUGAAAGUCCAGGGCUCAACCCUGGAAUGCCGGUGGAAACUGUAGGGCUCGAGUCCGGAAGAGGCGAGUGGAAUUCCUGGUGUAGCGGUGAAAUGCGCAGAUAUCAGGAGGAACACCAAUGGCGAAGGCAGCUCGCUGGGACGGUACUGACGCUGAGACGCGAAAGCGUGGGGAGCAAACAGG